UUCCGGUUGAUCCCGCCGGACCUUACUGCUAUCGGGAUGAGACUAAGCCAUGCAUGUCGAGCGCUCUUCAGCUAUGUAGAGAGCGCGGCGAACGGCUCAAUAACACGUAGUUAACCUACCCUCGGGAUGGGAAUAACCCCGGGAAACUGGGAUUAAUGCCCACUAGAUGAUUAUACCUGGAAUGGCUUAUCAUCGAAAGAGUCUGGAAACAUGCUUCCAGCGUCGCCCGAGGAUGGGACCGCGUCCGAUCAGGUAGUUGGUGGGGUAAUGGCCUACCAAGCCUAUAACAGGUACGGGCCCUGAGAGGGGGAGCCCGGAGAUGGAAACUGAGAAAAGGUUCCAGGCCCUACGGGGUGCAGCAGGCGCGAAACCUCCACAAUGCGCGAAAGCGUGAUGGGGUUAUCCCGAGUGCCGUCCGAUGAGGAUGGCUUUUUAUCGAUGUAAGGAUUCGAUGGAAUAAAGGGGGGGCAAGACUGGUGUCAGCCGCCGCGGUAAUACCAGCCCCCUGAGUGGUAAGGACGAUUAUUUGGCCUAAAGCGUUCGUAGCCGGCUUAUCAAGUCUUUUGUUAAAUCCAACGAUUCAAUCGUUGGGCCGCAAAAGAUACUGUUAUGCUAGAGGACGGGAGAGGUCGACGGUAGUCCAGGGGUAGGGGUGAAAUCCUAUAAUCCCGGGAGGACCACCAGUGGCGAAGGCUGUCGGCUAGAACGCGCCCGACGGUGAGGGAUGAAAGCUGGGGGAGCGAACCGGAUUAGAUACCCGGGUAGUCCCAGCUGUAAACGAUGCAGGCUAGGUGUUUGGGCGGCUACGUGCCGCUCUAGUGCCGCAGGAAAGCUGUUAAGCCUGCCGCCUGGGGAGUACGGCCGCAAGGCUGAAACUUAAAGGAAUUGGCGGGGGGAGCACACAAGGGUGAAGCUUGCGAUUAAUUGGAAGUCAACGCCGGA
Molecule: ribosomal RNA, 942 nt
Filed under: uncultured archaeon
Lineage: Archaea
Description: bacterial SSU rRNA
Rfam family: Archaeal small subunit ribosomal RNA
Source: RNAcentral